This 460-nucleotide ribosomal RNA is filed under the name uncultured bacterium. Its description in RNAcentral is "partial 16S ribosomal RNA". It matches the Rfam family "Bacterial small subunit ribosomal RNA", at positions 338 to 795 of the family's 1533-position model. The record is from RNAcentral.
CCUACGGGAGGCAGCAGUGAGGAAUAUUGGUCAAUGGACGCAAGUCUGAACCAGCCAUGCCGCGUGCAGGAAGACGGCUCUAUGAGUUGUAAACUGCUUUUGUACGAGGGUAAACGCAGAUACGCGUAUCUGUCUGAAAGUAUCGUACGAAUAAGGAUCGGCUAACUCCGUGCCAGCAGCCGCGGUAAUACGGAGGAUUCAAGCGUUAUCCGGAUUUAUUGGGUUUAACGGGUGCGUAGGCGGUUGGUUAAGUUAGAGGUGAAAUCCCGAGGCUCAACUUCGGAAUUGCAUCUGAUACUGUUCGGCGAGAGAGUAGUUGCGGUGGGCAGAAUGUAUGGUGUAGCGGUGAAAUGCUUAGAGAUCAUACAGAACACCGAUUGCGAAGGCAGCUUACCAAGCUACUUCUGACGUUGAGGCACGAAAGCGUGGGGAGCAAACAGGAUUAGAUACCCGAGUAGUC